GACGAACGCUGGCGGCGUGCCUAAUACAUGCCAGUCGAACGAGAGUGACCGGUGCUUGCACUGGUCAAUCUAGUGGCGAACGGGUGAGUAACACGUGGGUAACCUGCCCAUCAGAGGGGGAUAACAUCCGGAAACGGAUGCUAAAACCGCAUAGGUCUUCGAGCCGCAUGGCUUGAAGAGGAAAAGAGGCGCAAGCUUCUGCUGAUGGAUGGACCCGCGGUGCAUUAGCUAGUUGGUGAGGUAACGGCUCACCAAGGCCGUGAUGCAUAGCCGACCUGAGAGGGUGAUCGGCCACAUUGGGACUGAGACACGGCCCAAACUCCUACGGGAGGCAGCAGUAGGGAAUCUUCCGCAAUGGACGCAAGUCUGACGGAGCAACGCCGCGUGAGUGAAGAAGGUUUUCGGAUCGUAAAACUCUGUUGUUAGAGAAGAACAAGUGCUAGAGUAACUGUUAGCGCCUUGACGGUAUCUAACCAGAAAGCCACGGCUAACUACGUG
This 498-nucleotide ribosomal RNA is filed under the name uncultured bacterium. Its description in RNAcentral is "partial 16S ribosomal RNA". It matches the Rfam family "Bacterial small subunit ribosomal RNA", at positions 28 to 507 of the family's 1533-position model. The record is from RNAcentral.